RNAcentral lists this ribosomal RNA (225 nucleotides) under uncultured bacterium. Its description in RNAcentral is "partial 16S ribosomal RNA". It matches the Rfam family "Bacterial small subunit ribosomal RNA", at positions 109 to 334 of the family's 1533-position model. The record is from RNAcentral.
AGUAACGCGUGGGUAACCUGCCUUGUACUGGGGGACAACAGUUGGAAACGACUGCUAAUACCGCAUAAGCGCACAGCUUCGCAUGAAGCAGUGUGAAAAACUCCGGUGGUACAAGAUGGACCCGCGUCUGAUUAGCUAGUUGGUGAGGUAACGGCUUACCAAGGCAACGAUCAGUAGCCGACUUGAGAGAGUGAUCGGCCACAUUGGGACUGAGACACGGCCCAG